RNAcentral lists this ribosomal RNA (325 nucleotides) under uncultured Pseudomonadota bacterium. RNAcentral describes it as "bacterial SSU rRNA". It matches the Rfam family "Bacterial small subunit ribosomal RNA", at positions 30 to 351 of the family's 1533-position model. Lineage: Bacteria; Pseudomonadati; Pseudomonadota. The record is from RNAcentral.
AUUGAACGCUAGCGGCAUGCUUAACACAUGCAAGUCGAACGGUAACAGGCCUAGCUUGCUAGGUGCUGACGAGUGGCGGACGGGUGAGUAACGCGUAGGUAUCUGCCUUGUAGAGGGGGAUAACCUGGGGAAACCCAGGCUAAUACCGCAUAAGCCCGCAAGGGGAAAGCAGGGGACCGAAAGGCCUUGUGCUAUGAGAUGAGCCUGCGUCGGAUUAGCUAGUUGGUAGGGUAAAGGCCUACCAAGGCGAUGAUCCGUAGCUGGUCUGAGAGGAUGACCAGCCACACUGGGACUGAGACACGGCCCAGACUCCUACGGGAGGCAG